AAACAGCCCCCUAUGUUUUGAUUCUUUGGCAGUUUUGGACCCCCAAGGCAAAAAAAAAAAAAAAAAUUGACACAUGGCACCUCACUUAGGGUGCCACGUCAGCGUUGACCGAGUCAACAAUGGAAUGGGGGUCCAAAACUGCCAAAAAUCAAAACAUAGGGGGCUGUUU
Molecule: microRNA precursor, 169 nt
Organism: Medicago truncatula (barrel medic)
Lineage: Eukaryota; Viridiplantae; Streptophyta; Magnoliopsida; Fabales; Fabaceae
Rfam family: MIR2619 microRNA precursor family
Source: Rfam